CAGAUCAGGAAACACAUUCUCAUCAGUUAUGUGAGCAAUGUGGUGUAAUGUUUGUUUCUCUGCCACGGCAUGAAUGUGACACGUCGGCGGUCAGCGAAAGCUCCACAUCCCAAGCAAUCACACAGACGCCGGUGCAUGAUUGACGGCAAAUAGCACAACUCCCGGAAUCCCGAAUUCAUCGCUUCAACCAGUACCCAAUGGGAUAUCCCGUGGCAAUGACAUUACAGAAGAUGAAACACCAGACGACAAACCUUCAUCGCCUCAGCCAGGACCCAGUGGCAUAUCCCGCACAAAUGAAACGCCAGGUGUCGAUUCUUCCCCUCAACCGGGUCCAUUACAAAGGGGAGUGCUACCAGAUGCAGUUUCUAGUCCAGCGUCAUCUCCACCGGAAAAUCCAGAGUUGAUGGAUGUUACGGAAAAUUUUAUGAGGUGCUUUAUCAGACAUUAUUCAGUGCCCUCCCAUGUCCAGGCUGAACCCAUUGCGUUUCUAAACAUGUACAGGGAUUUCUUUGUAAGGGAGAUACGAAAUUAUUUCAUCAGUCACCAUCAAAAUUUUCCUCCCUCAUUGAAA
Scylla paramamosain (green mud crab) is the source of this 571-nucleotide long non-coding RNA. RefSeq lists it as uncharacterized. The transcript has 3 exons. NCBI's taxonomy places the organism in Eukaryota, Metazoa, Arthropoda, Malacostraca, Decapoda, Portunidae. The record is from RefSeq and is a predicted model, not a curated record.